Pelodiscus sinensis (Chinese soft-shelled turtle) is the source of this 491-nucleotide non-coding RNA. NCBI's taxonomy places the organism in Eukaryota, Metazoa, Chordata, Testudines, Trionychidae. The record is from RefSeq and is a predicted model, not a curated record.
GGAGUCUGCUUUCCAGGGACAGUUUCUAUGUAUUUGUCCUCCAUUUUACACUGGUGACUUUUGCCAGCAACGUUACAAUCCCUGUGACCUUCCCUACAAUCCAUGUAUAAACAACUCAACAUGCUUGGCUCAAGUUGAUGGGAGUCCAUUAUGUGUUUGUGAAAAAGGAUUCGAAGGUGCUUACUGUGAAAUUGACAGCAAUGAGUGUAUCUCCCAUCCAUGCCAGAACCAAGGUCACUGUGUAGAUGAGGUUAACAGUUACAGGUGCUCCUGCAGACCUGGAUUUUCUGGGACACAAUGUGAAGUGGAGAUUAAUGAAUGUUUAUCAAAACCCUGCCAAAACAAUGGAACCUGUCUUGACCUUAUAAACAGGUUUCUCUGUAGCUGUGCACCUUGGUUCUAUGGGCCUCUUUGUGAGUUGGAUGUAAAUGAGUGUGAAACUUUGCCUUGUCUGCAUGGAGGUAGUUGCUAUAAUAAACCUGGAGGCUAUC